RNAcentral lists this ribosomal RNA (428 nucleotides) under uncultured bacterium. Its description in RNAcentral is "partial 16S ribosomal RNA". It matches the Rfam family "Bacterial small subunit ribosomal RNA", at positions 354 to 796 of the family's 1533-position model. The record is from RNAcentral.
GUAGGGAAUAUUGCGCAAUGGGGGAAACCCUGACGCAGCGACGCCGCGUGAGUGAUGAAGGCCUUCGGGUCGUAAAGCUCUGUUGCAGGGGAAUAAAAAAAUGAAGGUACCCUGUGAGGAAGGAUCGGCUAACUUCGUGCCAGCAGCCGCGGUAAGACGAGGGAUCCUAGCGUUGCUCGGAAUCAUUGGGCGUAAAGAGGGCGUAGGUGGCUUGGUAAGUCAGGUGUGGAAGCCCAGGGCUCAACCCUGGAAGUACAUUUGAUACUGCUGAGCUUGAGUGUCGGAGAGGUUACCGGAAUACCUGGUGUAGUGGUGAAAUACGUAGAUAUCAGGUGGAACACCGGAGGCGAAGGCGGGUAACUGGACGAACACUGACACUGAGGCCCGAAAGCGUGGGGAUCAAACAGGAUUAGAAACCCGGGUAGUCC